This 72-nucleotide transfer RNA is filed under the name Elusimicrobiota bacterium. RNAcentral describes it as "Elusimicrobia bacterium (hot springs metagenome) tRNA-Thr". It matches the Rfam family "tRNA". From Rfam's summary of the family: Transfer RNA (tRNA) molecules are approximately 80 nucleotides in length. Their secondary structure includes four short double-helical elements and three loops (D, anti-codon, and T loops). Lineage: Bacteria; Pseudomonadati; Elusimicrobiota. The record is from RNAcentral.
GCCGCCUUAGCUCAACGGUAGAGCAAUCCCUUCGUAAGGGAUAGGUUGUCAGUUCAAAUCUGACAGGCGGCU